AGAGUUUGAUCCUGGCUCAGAUUGAACGCUGGCGGCAGGCCUAACACAUGCAAGUCGAGCGCGAAAGUUCUUCGGAAUGGGUAGAGCGGCGGACGGGUGAGUAACGCGUAGGAAUCUGUCCGGUAGUGGGGGAUAACGUUCCGAAAGGAACGCUAAUACCGCAUACGUCCCACGGGGGAAAGAGGGGGAGGUCUUUCGGGACCCCUCUCGCUAUCGGAGGAGCCUGCGUCGGAUUAGCUAGUUGGUAGGGUAAAGGCCUACCAAGGCGACGAUCCGUAGCUGGUCUGAGAGGAUGAUCAGCCACACCGGAACUGAGACACGGUCCGGACUCCUACGGGAGGCAGCAGUGGGGAAUAUUGCGCAAUGGGGGCAACCCUGACGCAGCCAUGCCGCGUGUGUGAAGAAGGCCUUCGGGUUGUAAAGCAUUUUCAGAGGGGAGGAAAGCCUCAGGGUUAAUACCCCUGGGGGGUGACGCUACCCUCAGAAGAGCCCCGA
Molecule: ribosomal RNA, 495 nt
Filed under: uncultured soil bacterium
Lineage: Bacteria
Description: bacterial SSU rRNA
Rfam family: Bacterial small subunit ribosomal RNA
Source: RNAcentral